GAGUAAGGUCCCAUGUCCCCUUUGAAAUCACCCUCUUAACACCUCAAAAGCUUUCCUCUUCCUUUUGGCUUGCACCACCACUCUGUUUUCACGAUCAUAUUCCUCUGUUGGGCUGCUUUUAUCCUUCGGGCUAUCUCGAUCGUGCUCCUCGAGGUCAAGCUCUGAGUGUUGCCCCGACUGCAGCAGGUUCCCAAUCACUGUGCUUGAGUUUUACAUCCUUGCUUUGGAGGUGUUAUUGGCUGCAGUUUCUUUGCUUUGUGUUUUCAACAAUCUUCGCAGGUAUGACAAAUGGUCAGUUUUCUCAAGGAGUAUGAAGAAAAGAUUGAGGUGAGGCCUAGCUCUGCUCAAUCUAACCCAUUCAUAUGGUGGCUUCAAAGAGAGCGUGUGAGUGGACCAAAACUACUGAAAAACCUCAGCUAUCCAAUGGGUCAGCUUUUUCCAAUUGCGAAUUGUCUGUUAUCUAUAUUUUGCUUAUGACUCUUUCAAAGAGCUGACGACUAGGAUCGUAUGAUGUGGUUAUUUCGGGUCCAUUGCCCAUCCUUUGUGGGUCCCACUGGAUGGUUAGUAUGCAGGAUAGGUUGGAUGCUGUAAGCACACCACAGUAAGCCCCACCUGCAACACAAGCUAUACAUGUUUGACAUGGUCAUGUAAGUUGCAGGUCUUUCAAAAAAUUAUUUCCUUUACGUAAGUUCAAGGCCACAUGUGGCACACGUUUAUGAGAUCCAAGCCAUCCAUCAGAUUGGGCACACUGUUAGAUGCUUUUGGGAAUGGCUUUAUUUUUGGGCAAGAGUAUUACAUGAUGGGUAACACCUUAUGUUCAGCUUGGAUCUCGAGCACAUAUGCCACAUUGGGACAUGAGUAGAUCCUCUACACUGUUUGUUUGCAAGAUGUUAAAAUAACAAUAAAGAAUCCCUUUACAAGUAUAGAGUCAUUUCUAGUUAUGCAAUUCCACUUUCAUUGAAUUUCUUAAUAUGCAAGUCUUAUGGACUUUGCAUAUAAAAGUAAGUGUUAGAGGAGGUCCAUUAAUUAUGUAGGCCACAAUUUAUAAAACAAAUCAAAACUAUGCAAAAGUUUUCAGGAUGUCCAUUUCAUUCAAACAUUGUGGCCCAUGUAAAAAGUGUAUUCCAUUGUGAA
This is a long non-coding RNA of Magnolia sinica, 1134 nucleotides long. RefSeq lists it as uncharacterized. The transcript has 3 exons. NCBI's taxonomy places the organism in Eukaryota, Viridiplantae, Streptophyta, Magnoliopsida, Magnoliales, Magnoliaceae. The record is from RefSeq and is a predicted model, not a curated record.